CCUACGGGGGGCAGCAGUGAGGAAUAUUGGUCAAUGGGCGCGAGCCUGAACCAGCCAAGUAGCGUGAAGGAUGACUGCCCUACGGGUUGUAAGCUUCUUUUAUAAAGGAAUAAAGUGAGGCACGUGUGCCUUUUUGUAUGUACUUUAUGAUUCAGGAUCGGCUAACUCCGUGCCAGCAGCCGCGGUAAUACGGAGGAUCCGAGCGUUAUCCGGAUUUAUUGGGUUUAAAGGGCGCGUAGAUGGGUUGUUAAGUCAGGUGUGAAAGUUUGCGGCUCAACCGUAAAAUUGCAAUUGAUACUGGCAGCCUUGAGUACAGUUGAGGUAGGCGGAAUUCGUGGUGUAGCGGUGAAAUGCGUAGAUAUCACGAAGAACUCCGAUUGCGAAGGCAGCCUACUAAACUGCCACUGACGUUGAUGCUCGAAAGUGUGGGGAGCAAACAGGAUUAGAUACCCCAGUAGUC
Molecule: ribosomal RNA, 460 nt
Filed under: uncultured bacterium
Lineage: Bacteria
Description: partial 16S ribosomal RNA
Rfam family: Bacterial small subunit ribosomal RNA
Source: RNAcentral